CCGAGCGUCAUUUUAGCUUAUCAAGCCUCGCUUGUACUGGGGUACUGCAUCGCUGCAGGCUCUCAAAUAGAGUGGCGGGACCGCUGUGUGCCGAGUGUAGUACCAUUCUUGCUCUAGCUCAACAGCGGCCUCCAGCCGUAAAACCCCCUCUUCAUAACCAGCUUGACCUCGGAUCAGGUAGGAAUACCCGCUGAACUUAA
RNAcentral lists this unclassified non-coding RNA (200 nucleotides) under soil metagenome. RNAcentral's name for it is "partial contains internal transcribed spacer 2 and large subunit ribosomal RNA". The record is from RNAcentral.